GGGACCCGCACAAGCGGUGGAUGAUGUGGAUUAAUUCGAUGCAACGCGAAAAACCUUACCUACCCUUGACAUGCCUGGAAUCCUGAAGAGAUUUGGGAGUGCCCGAAAGGGAACCGGGACACAGGUGCUGCAUGGCUGGCGUCAGCUCGUGUCGUGAGAUGUUGGGUUAAGUCCCGCAACGAGCGCAACCAUUGUCGAUAAUUGCCAUCAUUUAGUUGGGCACUUUAGCGAGACUGCCGGUGACAAACCGGAGGAAGGUGGGGAUGACGUCAAGUCCUCAUGGCCCUUAUGGGUAGGGCUUCACACGUCAUACAAUGGUCGGUACAGAGGGUCGCCAACCCGCGAGGGGGAGCCAAUCCCAGAAAGCCGAUCGUAGUCCGGAUUGGAGUCUGCAACUCGACUCCAUGAAGUCGGAAUCGCUAGUAAUCGUGGAUCAGCAUGCCACGGUGAAUACGUUCCCGGGUCUUGUACUAAACCGGCCCA
RNAcentral lists this ribosomal RNA (483 nucleotides) under uncultured bacterium. Its description in RNAcentral is "bacterial SSU rRNA". It matches the Rfam family "Bacterial small subunit ribosomal RNA", at positions 916 to 1386 of the family's 1533-position model. The record is from RNAcentral.